AGCAGCAGCCGCGGGAAUACGUAGGUGGCAAGCGUUGUCCGGAAUUAUUGGGCGUAAAGCGCGCGCAGGCGGCCUAUCCAGUCUGUCUUAAAAGUUCGGGGCUCAACCCCGUGAUGGGAUGGAAACUAGUAGGCUAGAGUAUCGGAGAGGAAAGCGGAAUUCCUAGUGUAGCGGUGAAAUGCGUAGGUAUUAGGAAGAACACCAGUGGCGAAGGCGGCUUUCUGGACGAAAACUGACGCUGAGGCGCGAAAGCUAGGGGAGCAAAUGGGAUUAGAUACCCCCGUAGUCCCUGUCUCUUAUACC
This 303-nucleotide ribosomal RNA is filed under the name uncultured bacterium. RNAcentral's name for it is "partial 16S ribosomal RNA". It matches the Rfam family "Bacterial small subunit ribosomal RNA", at positions 507 to 808 of the family's 1533-position model. The record is from RNAcentral.